RNAcentral lists this ribosomal RNA (301 nucleotides) under uncultured bacterium. RNAcentral's name for it is "partial 16S ribosomal RNA". It matches the Rfam family "Bacterial small subunit ribosomal RNA", at positions 509 to 809 of the family's 1533-position model. The record is from RNAcentral.
CAGUCGCCGCGGGAACACAGAGGGUGCGAGCGUUAAUCGGAUUUACUGGGCGUAAAGCGUGCGUAGGCGGCUUCUUAAGUCGGAUGUGAAAUCCCUGAGCUUAACUUAGGAAUUGCAUUCGAUACUGGGAAGCUAGAGUAUGGGAGAGGAUGGUAGAAUUCCAGGUGUAGCGGUGAAAUGCGUAGAGAUCUGGAGGAAUACCGAUGGCGAAGGCAGCCAUCUGGCCUAAUACUGACGCUGAGGUACGAAAGCAUGGGGAGCAAACAGGAUUAGAUACCCGAGUAGUCCCUGUCUCUUAUAA